This 253-nucleotide ribosomal RNA is filed under the name uncultured bacterium. RNAcentral's name for it is "partial 16S ribosomal RNA". It matches the Rfam family "Bacterial small subunit ribosomal RNA", at positions 524 to 776 of the family's 1533-position model. The record is from RNAcentral.
UACGUAGGGUGCAAGCGUUAAUCGGAAUUACUGGGCGUAAAGCGUGCGCAGGCGGUUGUGCAAGACCGAUGGGAAAUCCCCGGGCUCAACCUGGGAAUGGCAUUGGUGACUGCACGGCUAGAGUGUGUCAGAGGGGGGUAGAAUUCCACGUGUAGCAGUGAAAUGCGUAGAGAUGUGGAGGAAUACCGAUGGCGAAGGCAGCCCCCUGGGAUAACACUGACGCUCAUGCACGAAAGCUAGGGGAGCGAAUGGG